CCUACGGGAGGCUGCAGUAGGGAAUUUUCGUCAAUGGGCGCAAGCCUGAACGAGCGAUGCCGCGUGAGUGAAGAAGGCCUUCGGGUCGUAAAGCUCUGUUGUGGGGGAAAAAAGGCAGUAUCAGGAAAUGGGUGCUGACUGACGGUGUCCUGCCAGAAAGCCACGGCUAACUACGUGCCAGCAGCCGCGGUAAUACGUAGGUGGCGAGCGUUAUCCGGAAUGAUUGGGCGUAAAGGGUGCGCAGGCGGUUCUGUAAGUCUGAAGUGAAACGCAUGGGCUCAACCCAUGAAUGGCAUUGGAAACUGGAGGACUGGAGAGCAGGAGAGGACAGUGGAACUCCAUGUGUAGCGGUGAAAUGCGUAGAGAUAUGGAGGAACACCAGUGGCGAAGGCGACCGCCUGGCCUGUUGCUGACGCUGAGGCACGAAAGCGUGGGGAGCAAAUAGGAUUAGAUACCCGAGUAGUC
RNAcentral lists this ribosomal RNA (465 nucleotides) under uncultured bacterium. RNAcentral's name for it is "partial 16S ribosomal RNA". It matches the Rfam family "Bacterial small subunit ribosomal RNA", at positions 338 to 795 of the family's 1533-position model. The record is from RNAcentral.